Suricata suricatta (meerkat) is the source of this 325-nucleotide long non-coding RNA. RefSeq lists it as uncharacterized. The transcript is spliced from 2 exons. The record is from RefSeq and is a predicted model, not a curated record. NCBI's taxonomy places the organism in Eukaryota, Metazoa, Chordata, Mammalia, Carnivora, Herpestidae.
AACAGCCCAAUAUCUCCAGCGAGUAUAUUGCAAAGAAAAAGAGAAAUUAGAGGCACAACCAAAUCCCACAUGUGGACUUGGCCAAUUACGGUAGGCCUCACACCCAUUGCAUUGUGUGCACUCCAAUGUGGGGCUCGAACUCAUGACUAUGAGAUGGAGACCUGAGUCACAAUCGCAAGUCAGAUGCUUCACCGACUGAGCCACUCAGGCACCAGCAGUAUGUUUUCCAGAUUCACUGUACCAUUGUAUGUGUAUCUACAGUUGGUUAAUUUUCAUGGCUGUAUAGAAUUAUACCAGCUAAAUAUAACACAUGUAUCCAUUCUGC